This is a transfer RNA of 73 nucleotides. It matches the Rfam family "tRNA". From Rfam's summary of the family: Transfer RNA (tRNA) molecules are approximately 80 nucleotides in length. Their secondary structure includes four short double-helical elements and three loops (D, anti-codon, and T loops). The record is from Rfam.
GGGCGGUUAGCUCAGCUGGCAGAGCACCGGACUCUUAAUCCGGGUGUCCAGGGUUCGAUCCCCUGACCGCCCA